ACGGGUGAGUAACACGUGGGCAACCUGCCCGUAAGAUCGGGAUAACUUCGGGAAACCGGAGCUAAUACCGGAUAACACUGAAGACCGCAUGGUCUUUGGUUGAAAGGCGGCUUUUGCUGUCACUUACGGAUGGGCCCGCGGCGCAUUAGCUAGUUGGUGAGGUAACGGCUCACCAAGGCGACGAUGCGUAGCCGACCUGAGAGGGUGAUCGGCCACACUGGGACUGAGACACGGCCCAGACUCCUACGGGAGGCAGCAGUAGGGAAUCUUCCGCAAUGGACGAAAGUCUGACGGAGCAACGCCGCGUGAGCGAAGAAGGUCUUCGGAUUGUAAAGCUCUGUUGUUAGGGAAGAACAAGUACCGUUCGAAUAGGGCGGUACCGUGACGGUACCUAACGAGAAAGCCACGGCUAACUACGUGCCAGCAGCCGCGGUAAUACGUAGGUGGCAAGCGUUGUCCGGAAUUAUUGGGCGUAAAGCGCGCGCAGGCGGUUCCUUAAGUCUGAUGUGAAAGCCCACGGCUCAACCGUGGAGGGUCAUUGGAAACUGGGGGACUUGAGUGCAGAAGAGGAGAGCGGAAU
Molecule: ribosomal RNA, 580 nt
Filed under: uncultured bacterium
Lineage: Bacteria
Description: bacterial SSU rRNA
Rfam family: Bacterial small subunit ribosomal RNA
Source: RNAcentral